Non-coding RNA from Dipodomys ordii (Ord's kangaroo rat), 65 nucleotides. The record is from Rfam. NCBI's taxonomy places the organism in Eukaryota, Metazoa, Chordata, Mammalia, Rodentia, Heteromyidae.
GGUGGCUCAGUGGUAGAGCUCUUGCCUUGCAUGCAUGAGGCCCUGGGUUUGAUUCCUCAGUACCA